This 389-nucleotide ribosomal RNA is filed under the name Stramenopiles sp. MAST-1C. Its description in RNAcentral is "partial small subunit ribosomal RNA". It matches the Rfam family "Eukaryotic small subunit ribosomal RNA", at positions 582 to 975 of the family's 1831-position model. The record is from RNAcentral.
AUUCCAGCUCCAAUAGCGUAUAUUAAUGUUGUUGCAGUUAAAAAGCUCGUAGUUGGAUUUCUGGUGGGAGUGGCCGGUCCGCCGUAAGGUGUGUACUUGGUUGUCUCCCGUCAUCCUUGUGGGAACUGCUCUGGCAUUAAGUUGUCGGGGUUAGGGAACACAUCGUUUACUGUGAAAAAAUUAGAGUGUUUAAAGCAGGCUUAUGCCGUUGAAUACAUUAGCAUGGAAUAAUAAGAUAGGACUUUGGCGUCUAUUUUGUUGGUUUGCACACCAAGGUAAUGAUUAAUAGGGAUAGUUGGGGGUAUUCAUAUUUAAUUGUCAGAGGUGAAAUUCUUGGAUUUAUGAAAGAUGAACUCAUGCGAAAGCAUUUACCAAGGAUGUUUUCAUUA